CCUACGGGAGGCAGCAGUGAGGAAUAUUGGUCAAUGGACGAGAGUCUGAACCAGCCAAGUAGCGUGAAGGAUGACUGCCCUAUGGGUUGUAAACUUCUUUUAUAAGGGGAUAAAACGAGGCACGUGUGCCUUUUUGUAUGUACCUUAUGAAUAAGGAUCGGCUAACUCCGUGCCAGCAGCCGCGGUAAUACGGAGGAUCCGAGCGUUAUCCGGAUUUAUUGGGUUUAAAGGGAGCGUAGGUGGGUUGUUAAGUCAGUUGUGAAAGUUUGCGGCUCAACCGUAAAAUUGCAAUUGAUACUGGCAGUCUUGAGUACAGUUGAGGUAGGCGGAAUUCGUGGUGUAGCGGUGAAAUGCUUAGAGAUCACGAAGAACCCCGAUUGCGAAGGCAGCUUACUAAACUGUGACUGACAUUGAUUCUCGAAAGUGUGGGUAUCAAACAGGAUUAGAUACCCGUGUAGUC
This 460-nucleotide ribosomal RNA is filed under the name uncultured bacterium. RNAcentral's name for it is "partial 16S ribosomal RNA". It matches the Rfam family "Bacterial small subunit ribosomal RNA", at positions 338 to 795 of the family's 1533-position model. The record is from RNAcentral.